RNAcentral lists this small nuclear RNA (107 nucleotides) under Monodon monoceros (narwhal). Lineage: Eukaryota; Metazoa; Chordata; Mammalia; Artiodactyla; Monodontidae. The record is from RNAcentral.
GUGCUCACUUCGGCAGUACAUAUACUAAAAGUGGAAUGAUACAGAGAAGAUUCGCGUGGCCCCUGCACAAGGAUGAUACACAAAUUCGUAAAGUGCUCCACAUUUUU